GAUGAACGCUGGCGGCGUGCCUAAUACAUGCAAGUCGAGCGAACAGACGAGGAGCUUGCUCCUCUGACGUUAGCGGCGGACGGGUGAGUAACACGUGGAUAACCUACCUAUAAGACUGGGAUAACUUCGGGAAACCGGAGCUAAUACCGGAUAAUAUAUUGAACCGCAUGGUUCAAUAGUGAAAGACGGUUUUGCUGUCACUUAUAGAUGGAUCCGCGCCGCAUUAGCUAGUUGGUAAGGUAACGGCUUACCAAGGCGACGAUGCGUAGCCGACCUGAGAGGGUGAUCGGCCACACUGGAACUGAGACACGGUCAAGACUCCUACGGGAGGCAGCAGUAGGGAAUCUUCCGCAAUGGGAGAAAGCCUGACGGAGCAACGCCGCGUGAGUGAUGAAGGUCUUCGGAUCGUAAAACUCUGUUAUUAGGGAAGAACAAAUGUGUAAGUAACUAUGCACGUCUUGACGGUACCUAAUCAGAAAGCCACGGCUAACUACGUG
This 497-nucleotide ribosomal RNA is filed under the name uncultured bacterium. Its description in RNAcentral is "partial 16S ribosomal RNA". It matches the Rfam family "Bacterial small subunit ribosomal RNA", at positions 28 to 507 of the family's 1533-position model. The record is from RNAcentral.